GACGAACGUUGGCGGCGUGCUUAAUACAUGCAAGUCCACUGAAGCAGUGGUAGCAAUCUCGCUGUGGAGGUGGCGCACGGGUGAGUAACACGUAGGUAAUCUGCCUUCAGGUCUGGCAUAACUCCGGGAAACCGGGGCUAAUAGCAGAUGAUGCAGCGGCUCGACAUCGAGACAGUUGUUAAAGCUAUGGCGCCUGAAGAUGAGCCUGCGUCUGAUUAGCUAGUUGGCGGGGUAACGGCCCACCAAGGCAACGAUCAGUAGCUGGUCUGAGAGGAUGAUCAGCCACACUGGAACUGAGACACGGUCCAGACUCCUACGGGAGGCAGCAGUAAGGAAUAUUGCUCAAUGGGAGAAAUCCUGAAGCAGCAACGCCGCGUGAGGGACGAAGGGCUUUGGCUUGUAAACCUCUGUAGUGAGAGAAAAAAAUCCCAAUCUUUGGGACAUGAUGGUAUCUCAAAAGUAAGCCCCGGCUAACUACGUG
Molecule: ribosomal RNA, 481 nt
Filed under: uncultured bacterium
Lineage: Bacteria
Description: partial 16S ribosomal RNA
Rfam family: Bacterial small subunit ribosomal RNA
Source: RNAcentral